Molecule: ribosomal RNA, 253 nt
Filed under: uncultured bacterium
Lineage: Bacteria
Description: partial 16S ribosomal RNA
Rfam family: Bacterial small subunit ribosomal RNA
Source: RNAcentral
UACGAGGGGUGCAAGCGUUGCUCGGAAUUAUUGGGCGUAAAGGGGAGGUAGGUGGUCUCAUUUGUCAGGGGUGAAAUCCUUGGGCUUAACUCAAGAAGUGCCCCUGAAACGGUGAGACUCGAGUCCUGGAGAGGGUCGUGGAAUUCCCGGUGUAGCGGUGAAAUGCGUAGAGAUCGGGAGGAACACCAGAGGCGAAGGCGGCGACCUGGACAGGUACUGACACUCAACUACGAAAGCGUGGGGAGCAAACAGG